UGGGGAAUAUUGCGCAAUGGGGGAAACCCUGACGCAGCCAUGCCGCGUGAGUGAAGAAGGUCUUCGGAUCGUAAAGCUCUUUCAACGGUGAAGAUGAUGACGGUAGCCGUAGAAGAAGCCCCGGCUAACUUCGUGCCAGCAGCCGCGGUAAUACGGAGGGGGUUAGCGUUGUUCGGAAUUACUGGGCGUAAAGCGCACGUAGGCGGACCAGAAAGUUGGGGGUGAAAUCCCGGGGGCUCAACCCCGGAACUGCCUCCAAAACUAUUGGUCUAGAGUUCGAGAGAGGUGAGUGGAAUUCCAAGUGUAGAGGUGAAAUUCGUAGAUAUUUGGAGGAACACCAGUGGCGAAGGCGGCUCACUGGCUCGAUACUGACGCUGAGGUGCGAAAGUGUGGGGAGCAAACAGGAUUAGAUACCCUGGUAGUCCACACCGUAAAACGAUGAAUGCCAGUCGUCGGGUAGCAUGCUAUUCGGUGACACACCUAACGGAUUAAGCAUUCCGCCUGGGGAGUACGGUCGCAAGAUUAAAACUC
RNAcentral lists this ribosomal RNA (531 nucleotides) under uncultured bacterium. RNAcentral's name for it is "bacterial SSU rRNA". It matches the Rfam family "Bacterial small subunit ribosomal RNA", at positions 355 to 902 of the family's 1533-position model. The record is from RNAcentral.